Molecule: small RNA, 380 nt
Filed under: Glossina palpalis gambiensis
Lineage: Eukaryota; Metazoa; Arthropoda; Insecta; Diptera; Glossinidae
Description: arthropod 7SK RNA
Rfam family: Arthropod 7SK RNA
Source: RNAcentral
UGUGUUUGUUUGUGAUGACGCGUAGCUGGACACUGAUCGCUAGAUCGCUAAUUAGUGUCUGCAGACCUGCUUAGUGACAUGCGUCACACUAUUAAUCUACUCCCAGUAACACAACAUGUUGGUAGACGUGUAAGAGCGCAUUUCAGUUAGCGGUCUUUUGAUGCACAGCAGCGGGUCAGACGCAUAAUUAUAUGUAAACAAAGGUGAUGCCGUUGGGGACUCCGCGCAGAGUUGUCGGGUCCAAGCCUUUGAUUUCACACUGAGACCAGCAACGGAUUUCCAAGUUCAAUGUUUUAAAAAUUUUUUUUUAAAAAAGUCAUCGGUAUUUUCAUUUCAAUUUAGCCACAAUUCUUGAGUUGACUACAGUAGACGUUCUAUUG